RNAcentral lists this ribosomal RNA (388 nucleotides) under uncultured eukaryote. Its description in RNAcentral is "partial 18S ribosomal RNA". It matches the Rfam family "Eukaryotic small subunit ribosomal RNA", at positions 592 to 976 of the family's 1831-position model. The record is from RNAcentral.
CAAUAGCGUAUAUUAAAGUUGUUGCAGUUAAAAAGCUCGUAGUUGGAUUUCUGAUCGAGACAUCAGGUCGGGUCCGAGAGGAUCAUGUACUUUGAUUUUGUUUUGAUCAUCCUUGGGGAGAGCAUUUCUGGCAUUCAGUUGUCGGGAUUGGGAUCCUCAUCGUUUACUGUGAAAAAAUUAGAGUGUUCAAAGCAGGCCUCGGCCUCUGAAUACAUUAGCAUGGAAUAAUAAGAUAGGGCUUUGGUGGUCUAUUUUGUUGGUUUGCACGCCAAAGUAAUGAUUAAUAGGGAUAGUUGGGGGUAUUCGUAUUCAAUUGUCAGAGGUGAAAUUCUUGGAUUUAUGGAAGACGAACUACUGCGAAAGCAUUUACCAAGGAUGUUUUCAUUAA